Pyrus x bretschneideri (Chinese white pear) is the source of this 605-nucleotide long non-coding RNA. RefSeq lists it as uncharacterized. The record is from RefSeq and is a predicted model, not a curated record. Lineage: Eukaryota; Viridiplantae; Streptophyta; Magnoliopsida; Rosales; Rosaceae. The transcript has 2 exons.
UCCUGCGCGUGCGCUCUCCUCUCGUCUCUCGUCCCUCGUCUCUCUCCUUCUCUACUGGAAAACCUACAAUCUUUCAUCUUCCGCUGCUCUUCCUUUCUCUCCGCUCCCCAUAUCUCUCGAUGUGAAGCCCACAAACCAAGUAGUGACGGUUGAAAGCCUCAAACAUGGCGGCCACGAAAUGGAGGUACAGUGACGGUCGACAACCGCCUCCAUUGACGAUGAAUUUGGUCAUCAGAAAGCGUCUUAUGGGGUGCAGAACCUAAGCCGCUGGCCUCCUCUGCAGCUCUUGGCCUUACCAUUGGAUUAUUUCCAAUAUGCGGUACGUAUAUUUUGCUCAGGUUUUCUGGGAAAUCUAAUACUGUUUGUGGAUUAUGGUUGUAUAUUCAUUGUUGGUUUAACUUCUUCACCGAAGUUCGUGAAGUUGAGAGGGACAACCAAGUCCUCAGGUCUCUUUCUCUCUGUGCAUGCAUGUAUGCAUACAUAAUGUUGUAUGUAUGUGGAUGUGAUGACAGUUUAAUUGUAUAAACUAGGGUUUCGGGCAAUAUGAUUGUUUAUCAUGUUUCGCAAUUAAAUGGAAAAAAAGGCCGACUCAAAUUAACUUCGCA